RNAcentral lists this microRNA (23 nucleotides) under Oreochromis niloticus (Nile tilapia). Its description in RNAcentral is "oni-miR-10680". Lineage: Eukaryota; Metazoa; Chordata; Actinopteri; Cichliformes; Cichlidae. The record is from miRBase by way of RNAcentral.
UUUCUAUGAUUCUAUUGCUGGCU